Mercenaria mercenaria is the source of this 990-nucleotide long non-coding RNA. RefSeq lists it as uncharacterized. Lineage: Eukaryota; Metazoa; Mollusca; Bivalvia; Venerida; Veneridae. The record is from RefSeq and is a predicted model, not a curated record. The transcript has 3 exons.
ACUACGGUAACAUACGAGGGUAUCCAAACAACACAUACUAUCCAAAUAAAAAAAUAUGGAGUUCCGGUUUAGACCAUGGGCGUGCGACGACCCCGAUGAAAUUCGGGAUAUCACGGUCUUCGUUAAUGUUAAUAAGCGUCCGUCAGAUCAGUAGGCGAAACGCAAUAUCCGCACAAUAAGAUGUCUGCGACUCGAAAGAAUAUUCAAAGUAAGCUGUUAAUUUUGUUGCGUCAGAAGCUAAUCAGCCGGUAACGGGACUACACUGAUAUAAUUUGUGAUACAAACAUGCUUCAUUCAAUACUGAGUAGCAUUUUUAAACGGCGACAUUUUGAACAUUUUUAUAUUUAGAGUGAGAGUGGAUACACGUUACACUGGCGCCGACAUUUUGAAAAUUUGAGGAAACAAAAACAUUCUCCAACGAGUUCUUCAGCUCGAGGAAUGAGAGAAUAGAUUCACCUUUGUGUCGCUUUUCAGAUCGUAUUUAAUUCCUUUCCGGUACUUUAGUUUCUUUGAACUUCUUUGUUACUAAGCCUAUAUUGAAUUUUUAAAAUUAAGAAAUCCGUGAUUUUACUUGCAGGCAUGACUGAUUAAUGGAAUUAUUUUACUUUUAUAUAGAAUAUGGACGGCACUCCAUUACAGCAUGUGCAUGGUUGGACCUGUUGACAUUUUUAGAAACUCAUCUUGGUCUAUUAUACAGAGUAUUGUUGUACUGCUCCAAAGUGCUUGUUGACAGACUGAAACCACUUGCUUGCGGCUCAUAAGGUUCACUUCUUGAGAGCAGGCAGCUACAAAACGGAAGGUCAACAAAUCCAGUAAACUUGAAAAGCAAGAAAGAAACACCAGAAAAUAUAAAAAGACAGAAGAACAAGGGAACUUUAAUAAAAAAAAUUUUUUAAGGAUAGGAAUUCAGGAUUUAUUUAGAAACUAAAUAUAUUUUGAGAACAGCAGUGUUUGACUAAGCUCUGUUACUUUAAGAGAUAAUGUGAUUAU